AUUGAGGUGGUAGAAUGUUCUCUGAAAGCACGCCUUGUAAGACGCACUUUCAGCCUAUACGACAUCCAAGUCAACUUAAAAUGCGUCCUACAGGGCGUACUUUCAGAGAACAUUUUGCCACCUUAUC
This 127-nucleotide microRNA precursor is filed under the name Gossypium raimondii (Peruvian cotton). Its description in RNAcentral is "miR8662 stem-loop (gra-MIR8662)". The record is from miRBase by way of RNAcentral. Lineage: Eukaryota; Viridiplantae; Streptophyta; Magnoliopsida; Malvales; Malvaceae.